This 223-nucleotide ribosomal RNA is filed under the name uncultured Syntrophaceae bacterium. Its description in RNAcentral is "partial 16S ribosomal RNA". It matches the Rfam family "Bacterial small subunit ribosomal RNA", at positions 1162 to 1382 of the family's 1533-position model. The record is from RNAcentral. Lineage: Bacteria; Pseudomonadati; Thermodesulfobacteriota; Syntrophia; Syntrophales; Syntrophaceae.
GCCGGAGGAAGGUGGGGAUGACGUCAAGUCCUCAUGGCCUUUAUGCCCAGGGCUACACACGUGCUACAAUGGGCGGUACAAAGAGAAGCAACCUCGCGAGGGUGAGCAAAUCUACAAAAAGCCGUUCUCAGUUCGGAUUGAAGUCUGCAACUCGACUUCAUGAAGUCGGAAUCGCUAGUAAUCGCGGAUCAGCAUGCCGCGGUCGAAUACGUUCCCGGGCCUU